RNAcentral lists this unclassified non-coding RNA (262 nucleotides) under Rhodiola chrysanthemifolia. RNAcentral describes it as "partial internal trancribed spacer 1". Lineage: Eukaryota; Viridiplantae; Streptophyta; Magnoliopsida; Saxifragales; Crassulaceae. The record is from RNAcentral.
CAAGGUUUCCGUAGGUGAACCUGCGGAAGGAUCAUUGUCGAAGCCUAGAAAGCACGACCGUGGACAUGUUGUUAAUCGUGGAUGCACUUGGGUCCUUCGGGUACUCCAUUUGCCUUCCCCUCGGUCGGUGAUGAGCCUUGCGCCCAUCGCUGAUCGAAACGAAUGAACCCCGGCGCGGAUCGCGCCAAGGAAUCGAAACCGAAAGAGCUUGGCUCGGUGGCCCGUGCUCGGGUGCCAGGGCCAUAGCUCUAUUCAAAAUACC